AUGUUAAACAUCAAGUUAUUAUGUGGGCCAGACACUGUAACUUGUGCCUGUAAUCCCAGUUAUUCAAGAGUAGGGCAGAAGGAUCACUUGAGGCCACAGGAGUUUGAGACCAGCUUGGGCAACAUAGUGAGACUCUGUCUCUUUAAAAAAAAAAAAAAAAAGAGGCUGUAAAAUGAUUGCAAAAUAUCAGAUAAAUAAAACUGCAUGUGUCCGUAGUGAUAUUCAAAGAGAAAAAGAAAAAAUAAAGAAGGCUCUUUUUUAAGAAUGUCAACUAAUAAAAGUAGAAGGAAAGAUAUUUAGAAAACUAUCACUUUGCAUCCCCAAAGCAAUCACUGAUUCAAGCAAAGAUCAGCCAUGGCCAGGCACGGUGUCUCCCGCCUGUAAUCCUAGCACUUUGGGAGGCCAAGAUGGGCGGAUCACCUGAGGUCAAGAGUUCAAAACCAGUCUGGCCAACAUGGUGAAACCCCGUCUCUACUAAAAUACAAAAAUUAGCCGGGUAUGGUGGCGGGUGCCUGUAAUCUCAGCUACUCAGGAGGCUGAGGCAGCAGAAUCACUUGAACCCCGGAGAUGGUGGUUGCAGUGAGCCGAGAUCGCGCCACUGCAACUCCAGCCUGGGCGGCUGAAUAAGACUCUGUCUCAAAAAAAAAAAAAAAAAAAAAAAAGAAUCAGCCAUAUAAGCUAAAGCCAUUAAGUGGAAUUUGUUGAGGGAUAGGAGAGCCACAGUACCAAAGAAUCCAUCCCCAAGUACUAUUUGCAUAAGAAGACUUACUUUUAUCAUGAAGAAAUCUAUGUUCACCAACUUAAUCAAGGUAUCAAAUAGUGGGGCAACCUGCUAUUGUUUCUUGAUGUGAAAGAGUAAGAGUAUACAACAUCAUUAAAGAAAUAUUCUUGCCAAGAAUGUUUAACCUGAAUUCGAUCAAGUCUCACCCAGUUUAUAGGAAAUAAAGGGCCCAGAUUCUAAGACAACAUAAGGAAACAAACGAAUCCAACAUGUUGGCCUUUCUACAAGAAAACUGUCCUUCCUCUUUAAAGAGCCAAUUAUCUGGCCGGGCGUGAUGACUCACGCCUGUAAUCCCAGCACUUUGGGAGACCGAGGCAGGCGGAUCACUUGAGGCCAGGAGUUCAAGACCAGCCUGACCAACAUGGUGAAAACUCAUUUCUACAAAAAGUACAAACUAGCUGGUCAUGCUGGCGCAGGCCUGUAUUCCCAGGUACUCAUGAGGCAGAGGUGGAAGGAUCACUUGAACUUGAACUUAUGAGGCAGACAUUGCAGUGAGCCAAUAUUGUGCCACUGCCCUCCAGCCUGAGGGACAGAUCCAGACUCUCCCAAAAAUAAAUAAAUAGGUCGGGCUCGGUGUCUCACGCCUGUAAUCCCAGCACUUUGGGAGGCCGAGGGGGGUGGAUCACAAGGUAGGUCAGGAGUUCGAGACCAGCCUGACCAACAUGGAGAAACUCCGUCUCUACUAAAAAUACAAAAAAAUUAGCCAGGCAUGGUGGUGCACACCUGUAAUCCCAGCUACUCAGGAGGCUGAGGCAGGAGAAUCGCUUGAACCUGGGAGGUGGAGGCUGCAGUGAGCCCAUAUCAAGCCACUGCAUUCCAGCCUGGGUGACAGAGUGAGAUUCUGUCUCAAAAAAUAAAAACCUAGUGUCUUUUGUUUAACAUGGGGAGACUGUUCUAGACUAAAAAGAAACCUACAACCCACAACCAAAUGCAAUGCAUGACAUUGACUGACUCCUGCUUUGUAGGGGAGGUAGGAGGGCAGAAAGCCGCUAUUAAAAGUUCUUGAAACACAUUGGGAAAUUUUCCAUAUAAAAUUUUGAUAUUAUGAAUUACUACUGAUUUUCCUUAAGUGCGAUCAUAUUGUAGGUAUACAGGAGAAUCUCCUUGUUCUUGGGUAAUGUAUGCUUUUUAGAGAUAAAAUAUCAUGAUACCUGAAAUUUACUUUAAAAUAUUUUAUCAGUGUGGGGGAGAGGGGAGGAUUGCUAUGAUAGUAUCUGUCUUUGAUCUGAAAAAUCAGUAAUAUAGUUAAACCUAAUACAUAAAUACAGUUACAGCAAGCAUGGCAAAAUGUUGACAACUGUUGAAAUCUAGGUGGCAUAGAGUUGUUUAUUAUCCUUUCAACUUUUCCAUGUUUGAGAUUUUUUGUAAUGAAAAGUUGGGAGAGGGGAUUAUUUUCAGAAAUAUUUUCCUCAGAUGGCACCUAUAAAAUGUAUCCUAAAUUUUAAAGUACCUUAACUAGAAGUUGUCUGCUUUCCUUCAUUUGCUUGCUCGUCGUCCAUUCUAAUACUAAAACCUAUCUACAUUGCGCAUAUUCUAAUGCUAGAAUAGGUCUAAUAUAAAUCUCACAAAUAACACCAAUAACCAGCACAAGAUUUAUAGGUGUAAACAUCUGGUUUUAUACCGAAAUAACAAACUUAACAGCAGUAAAACAAAUCGUUUAUUACUGCAUAUGUGUUAUAUUAAAUUUACACAAUGAUAUAUAAAAACACAUACUGUUUAUAUUAUAUAGUAAUUUAACAUCAACAGGAAUAUCAACACAAGUACUACUCAUGCACAAAACAUGCAUAUAUUGGUAUACAAAAAGCAAUUUUACACAAUACUGUUUACCAAAAAUUUUUUCUUAAAAAACAGCCCUUCCACAUAGGAUCAGCGGUCCAAUCUGGACUGGAUUGCACUAAUAUGUUCAGGUCAAUGCUUAGGUGGCAUAGCGCUCAGUGAGCAAUUCUGGGAUUGGAGUCAUGCCCAAGGGUUACUUCAUUAAUAGUGAAUGUCUCUGUGCCCAAGGACCAAAAUUUUAUCCCAAAAGUAAAUCCUCCAAGGAAUGAAAGGUUAGAUUGGCUACAAAUUAGGGAGGGAAAAGGCAUCAAAAUGUUGGAUAAACGGCCCUAGAAGGGGUUAUUAGGAACAGGGCCUAGGCACCAAGUGUGGCAAAAGUUUUUGUGAAUCCUUUUAAGGUCCCUAUCCAGGCUGCCAUCUCUGGAUUUAAGGUCUGGCCUCCAAGUCAUGAGUCUAGUAAAAAAAACAGUUCUGAGAAUAAAGCCGAAUGGGCAUACAUCUGAGAAAUUUAGACUACAUAAAAAAUUAUAGAAUACAAUGACUGCCCCUCG
Molecule: long non-coding RNA, 3108 nt
Filed under: Papio anubis (olive baboon)
Lineage: Eukaryota; Metazoa; Chordata; Mammalia; Primates; Cercopithecidae
Description: lncRNA (ENSPANG00000037920.1)
Source: RNAcentral